This 2058-nucleotide ribosomal RNA is filed under the name Triticum aestivum (bread wheat). Its description in RNAcentral is "partial small subunit ribosomal RNA". The record is from RNAcentral. Lineage: Eukaryota; Viridiplantae; Streptophyta; Magnoliopsida; Poales; Poaceae.
AUGAACGUCAGCGCAGUAUAUGGGCUGGGCCGGGCGGGGCAAUCCGUGACCCUGCCCUCCUCUUUCCAUCCCACUCCUCCCUCCACGCCACCGCCGCCGCCUCUCGCACCAGCUCGAUGGACCAGACGCCGCAGCGCCGCCGCCGGAGACUCGGUAAACUGGGAGAUGAUGAGUUGGUCAAACAAGGAAGGUAUCUCCGAGGAAGGGCAACAACGAAUUGAGAAGGUUCGUGAUAAGCUCUGGCCUCCACCUGGUGUAGAAUAUCUUCAAAUUAGUGGGUAUUCUGGCCGGCAACUCCCGAGCUGGAUGGUGUCCACAUCAAUGGUGUCCCUCAACAACUUGAAGACUAUAUUGUUUGAUGAUCUGGCUUGUUGCACACAACUUCCCAAUGGGCUGUGCCAGCUCCCAACUCUGCAGUUUCUACAGGUCUCUCGUGCUCCAUGCAUCAAACAUUUGGGGACUGGAUUCUUGCAGGCGGCAACAACUUCAUUUCCGAGGUUAAACAAACUGAUCUUCAUGAGAAUGGUGGAAUGGGAGUGGGAGGAACUGAGGCAUUUUCCUCCAGGCCUCGCCUCCAAUGCAAGCUCUUUGAAAAUAUUAAUUCUACCAUAUGUCAAGCACCUCAGCUACAUUGAGAGCUUUCCUUCUGUUGUUGAGCUUAUAGUGAAUGGCUGCCCUGACCUGGAGGGGAUCACCAAUCUCCCAAAUCUGCAGAAGCUUACCAUCGACACUUGCCCAAAGUUGAAGGGUUGGAGCAAAUCGCUUCUCUCGAGAGGAUGGCUAUGGUUUCUCUCUGCGGUAGCCUCGGGACAAUCUGGCACUGAGUGGGACAAGUUCAACCAAGUGGAGCAUAUCAAGGCAUAUGCAGGUGAUGGGGAUAACCAAAGAAAAUUCUUGGUGAGGAUCCCAUUUUUCCAAGGUAUGAUGGCAAGGGAUCACAUCUUUGUUGAUGGGAGAUUGUUGUCUUUACAAGAUGGAGUAGCUGUCGCUCUGAGGGUACUGAACUCUGCUGACUCUCCGGUUACCGUAGGAUCCUCUCUUGGUGUGAAUGAGUCAACUGUCUCGCUGGUAUCUCAGGUGUUUGUUGAGGCUAUGUGCCAGCGAGCAAUGCACCACUUGGGCUGGCCAGGCUCUGCUGAAAUGGAGAAGAUCAAGCACAAGUUUCACAAGAUCCAUGGCCUGCCAAACUGUUGCGGUGUUGUACAUACAGCUCACAUCCCGUUUGGAUCAGAAAACCAUGACCAUGAGAAGAGAUACCCUCUCCUCCCCUGGCUUCUCACACCUUACCGCCUGGAAGACAAGGACCUCCUUUCUGCAGAUUUCCCUCCUUAUCAAGCCGAGUUCAACAGAAGACACUCCACAGCAUUAGACAUCACCCUCUCUGCGCUGGGGAGGUGGAAAGACACUCGGAAGAUCCUGGACAGAGGGGUUGUGAUAGACAUGCAGGAGGAGGAGGAGGAGGAGGAGGAGGUGUGCCGGUUAGCAGACGAGGAUGCGCUCAGGAUGAGGGAUAUACUGUCCCGGCAUUUGAUGGAAUCUGGAGGCCACACAAUGGCUGCAGAGGCGGAACAGCAAGCACCAGCAGUUGCAUCUGGUUUAGGAGAUGGAAACCAGGAGCAAGGAGCAUGCCGACGACAAAAAGCAGAUCGAGGGAAGGAGAAAAGAGAAAGCCUCGUCCGUGCCAAGAUCAAACAGCAAAUUCAGGCAGAUGGUGGGGCGGAUGAUACAGUUUCAGUAUCAUUGGGUUUGGCGACGUUGAUCCUUCUUCAUGUAUGCUGGUUGUUGCAUUUGAAUUCAGAUGAAGCCCUCCUCGACGAACAAGACAGUAAUCAGCAGCAAAAGCCGAGGCUUGGGAACGAGGAACAACCAGCAGGAGAGGAAGCGUCUUCGACAUCACCAUGGGCACAAAAGAAAAUAGUUGCAACCUCAUCCAUCUCUGAACGGGGCUCCCUGCCCCCUCGCCUUGGCACGGAAGGCAACAAUCCAUCGGAAGAUGGAGACGCUCCCCCGAGUCCUAGGGUGAAAACAACCGCUGAGACCAACCGGAGUGCAAAAUGA